Molecule: ribosomal RNA, 520 nt
Filed under: uncultured bacterium
Lineage: Bacteria
Description: bacterial SSU rRNA
Rfam family: Bacterial small subunit ribosomal RNA
Source: RNAcentral
AGAGUUUGAUUAUGGCUCAGGAUGAACGCUAGCUACAGGCUUAACACAUGCAAGUCGAGGGGCAGCACGGGAGUAGCAAUACAACUGGUGGCGACCGGCGCACGGGUGAGUAACGCGUAUGCAACCUACCUAUCAGAGGGGAAUAACCCGGCGAAAGUCGGACUAAUACCGCAUAAAACAGGGGCACCGCAUGGUGAUAUUUGUUAAAGAAAUUCGCUGAUAGAUGGGCAUGCGUUCCAUUAGGUAGUUGGUGAGGUAACGGCUCACCAAGCCGACGAUGGAUAGGGGAACUGAGAGGUUGGUCCCCCACACUGGUACUGAGACACGGACCAGACUCCUACGGGAGGCAGCAGUGAGGAAUAUUGGUCAAUGGGCGAGAGCCUGAACCAGCCAAGUCCGCGCGAAGGAAGAAGGAUCUAUGGUUCGUAAACUUCUUUUGCAGGGGAAUAAAGUGCGGGACGUGUCCUGUUUUGUAUGUACCCUGAGAAUAAGGAUCGGCUAACUCCGUGCCAGCCGCCGC